AUUGAACGCUAGCGGCAUGCUUAACACAUGCAAGUCGAACGGCAGCGCGAGGAGCUUGCUCCUUGGCGGCGAGUGGCGGACGGGUGAGUAACGCGUAGGAAUUUGCCUUAUAGUGGGGGACAACCCGAGGAAACUCGGGCUAAUACCGCAUAAUCUCUACGGAGCAAAGUGGGGGAUCUUCGGACCUCACGCUAUAAGAUGAGCCUGCGUUGGAUUAGCUUGUUGGUGGGGUAAAGGCCUACCAAGGCGACGAUCCAUAGCUGGUUUGAGAGGACGACCAGCCACACUGGGACUGAGACACGGCCCAGACUCCUACGGGAGGCAGCAGUGGGGAAUAUUGGACAAUGGGGGCAACCCUGAUCCAGCAAUGCCGCGUGUGUGAAGAAGGCCUUCGGGUUGUAAAGCACUUUCAGUGGGGAAGAAAAGCCAAGGGUAAUAUCCUUGGAAAUUGACAUUACCCACAGAAGAAGCACUGGCUAACUCUGUG
Molecule: ribosomal RNA, 487 nt
Filed under: uncultured bacterium
Lineage: Bacteria
Description: bacterial SSU rRNA
Rfam family: Bacterial small subunit ribosomal RNA
Source: RNAcentral